GGUUGACCUCGGAUCAGGUAGGAAUACCCGCUGAACUUAAGCAUAUCAAUAAGCGGAGGAAAAGAAACCAACAGGGAUUGCCUUAGUAACGGCGAGUGAAGCGGCAACAGCU
Molecule: ribosomal RNA, 112 nt
Filed under: Virgaria sp. HMF-084
Lineage: Eukaryota; Fungi; Ascomycota
Description: partial 28S ribosomal RNA
Rfam family: Eukaryotic large subunit ribosomal RNA
Source: RNAcentral